RNAcentral lists this ribosomal RNA (460 nucleotides) under uncultured bacterium. RNAcentral's name for it is "partial 16S ribosomal RNA". It matches the Rfam family "Bacterial small subunit ribosomal RNA", at positions 338 to 795 of the family's 1533-position model. The record is from RNAcentral.
CCUACGGGUGGCAGCAGUGAGGAAUAUUGGUCAAUGGCCGGAAGGCUGAACCAGCCAUUCCGCGUGACGGUCAGUGCCCUAUGGGCGUUAAACUUCUUUUGUGCGGGAGCAAUAAUGGUCACGUGUGGCCAGACGAGAGUACCGUACGAAUAAGCAUCGGCUAACUCCGGUCCAGCAGCCGCGGUGAUACCGGGGAUGCAAGCGUUAUCCGGAUUUUUUUGGUUUAAAGGGUGCGUAGGCUGUGAGGUAAGUCAGCGGUGAAAUGACCCCGGUCAAUGGGGUGAAGUGCCAUUGAUACUGCCUUGCUGGAAUGCGGAUGCCGUGGGAGGAAUGUGUGGUGGAGCGGUGAAAUGCAUAGAUAUCACACAGAACACCGAUUGCGAAGGCAUCUCACGAAUCCGCGAUUGACGCUGAUGCACGAAAGCGUGGGUAUCAAACAGGAGUAGAUACCCGAGUAGUC